This 727-nucleotide long non-coding RNA is filed under the name Homo sapiens (human). Its description in RNAcentral is "non-protein coding lnc-BPY2B-3:1". Lineage: Eukaryota; Metazoa; Chordata; Mammalia; Primates; Hominidae. The record is from RNAcentral.
UUUCAUUUUACUACAGAGAUAUGGAUGGAGCACAAAAUAAAAGAUUCAUUCCAAAAAGUGACUGAUAAAAUAUGAAAGCUGUGACUUUAAUAACUUACUUUUAAAGAAACACUACCAAAGUGUGGGUUAUUGCAAGGGCAGAAAAGCAGUUUUAAUGGCUUUCCUCAAUGUCUGUCAUCUACUCAUAGCAAAACAAAUGUGGCAAACCUUUUGAGUUGUGCUCAAACUUCAGUGAACAUAAAAAAAAAAAUUAGUGGGAGAAAUGCUACAAGUAUGAAGAACGUGGCAAAGACUGUACAUUGUUCUCACAUUUUACUAUAAAAAAGGAAAUUCCUAUUGCAGAGAGAUGACACAAAUGUGAAGAAUGUGGCAAAGCCUUUAAAAAGUUAUCAAGUCUUACUGAACAUAAGAAAGUUUAUCCUGGAGAGAAAUCUUACAAAUAUAAAGAAUGUGGCAAACCUUCACCUGCUCCUAAACCUUCAUUAAACACAAGAUAAAUCAUGCUGGAGACACAUCCUAAAAACGCGUGGAACGUGGCAAAGCCUUUAAGUGCUUCUCAGACCUUACUAAUCAUAAGAGAAUUCACACUGGAGAGAAACCCUACAAAUGUGAAAAAUGCGGCCAAACAUUGAGCUCAUUCUCACACCUCAUUAGACAUAAGAAAAUUCAUACUACAGAGAAAGUCCACAAGUGAUAAAAAUGUGGAAAAGCCUUUAACAAAUCCUCA